GUGUUUGGGAUCGUUCGCGUGUUGCGGCUCCAGCAGAGUCACCUUGCUUCGGCCGCUGCCGCUGCUGCUGUUCUGGGGAUAGAGCAGAGGAACCGACCGGGCCAGAGGCGACAGGAAGGCAGCUGGCCACCGACCGAACCGGGUCGACAUGGCGGAGACAAAGCCGAAGACCUCUCCGAAGGCCAUAAAGUUCCUGUUCGGAGGUCUGGCCGGCAUGGGGGCCACGGUGUUUGUCCAGCCUUUGGACCUGGUGAAGAACCGGAUGCAGCUGAGCGGCCAGGGCACCAAGGCCCGCGAGUACAAGACCAGCUUCCACGCUCUGUUCUCCAUCCUGAAGAACGAAGGACUGGGAGGCAUCUACACCGGCCUGUCUGCAGGGCUCCUCCGCCAGGCCACCUACACCACCACCCGCCUGGGCAUCUACACCAUCCUGUUUGAGAAGAUGACGGGAGCCGACGGACGGCCGCCCAACUUCUUGCUGAAGGCUCUGAUCGGGAUGACGGCCGGCGCCACCGGAGCGUUUGUGGGGACACCGGCGGAGGUUGCUCUGAUCAGGAUGACGGCUGACGGGCGACUUCCUGCUGACCAGAGGAGAGGAUAUACCAACGUGUUCAACGCUCUGGCUCGCAUCACCAGAGAGGAAGGGCUGACCACGCUGUGGAGGGGCUGUGUUCCCACCAUGGCCCGGGCGGUGGUGGUCAACGCCGCUCAGCUGGCGUCCUACUCCCAGUCCAAACAGGCGCUGCUGGACUCAGGGUACUUUGGAGACGACAUCUUGUGCCAUUUCUGUGCCAGUAUGAUCAGCGGUCUGGUUACCACGGCAGCAUCGAUGCCCGUCGACAUCGUCAAGACCAGGAUCCAGAACAUGAGGAUGAUUGACGGCAAACCAGAGUACAAGAACGGCCUGGACGUUCUGAUGCGGGUCGUGGGGAAGGAGGGCUUCUUCUCCCUGUGGAAAGGUUUCACUCCGUACUACGCCCGGCUCGGCCCUCACACCGUCCUCACCUUCAUCUUCCUGGAGCAGAUGAACCGCCUCUACAAGACCUACGUGCUGGACCGCUGACACACACCAUCACACACACCAUCACACACACACACACACCAUCAUACACACACACACACACCAUCACACACACACACCAUCACACACACACACACUGAGGAGGACGAUCCUCAGCGUCUGCAGGAGUUGCAGCAGCAGGUCCAUAUUUUGUUUUUCUGCUGCUUUAAAAUAAAAACUCACCUGAGAGAAACUUGGUGAGAUCAGUGUUAAAGCUGAACACACACACACACCAUCACACACACACAUCAUCACACACACACACCAUCACACACACACACCAUCAUACACACACACGAAGGGUUAAAGUUCUCCUGGCUGUGAUGUAAGCACCUUUCACUGACAUCAGAUUAUAAACCUGUGACCUCCGACCCCCAGCAUCAUGGUGUCACCUGGUUACCAUGGUUACCGAGUGGGAAAUAAAGCGUUUUUAUCCUCA
This is an RNA transcript of Xiphophorus hellerii (green swordtail), 1499 nucleotides long. It is a transcript of the gene named solute carrier family 25 member 11, with no coding region annotated. The record is from RefSeq and is a predicted model, not a curated record. The transcript has 10 exons. Lineage: Eukaryota; Metazoa; Chordata; Actinopteri; Cyprinodontiformes; Poeciliidae.